RNAcentral lists this transfer RNA (73 nucleotides) under Planctomycetota bacterium. Its description in RNAcentral is "Planctomycetes bacterium (hot springs metagenome) tRNA-Asn". It matches the Rfam family "tRNA". From Rfam's summary of the family: Transfer RNA (tRNA) molecules are approximately 80 nucleotides in length. Their secondary structure includes four short double-helical elements and three loops (D, anti-codon, and T loops). The record is from RNAcentral. Lineage: Bacteria; Pseudomonadati; Planctomycetota.
UCCCCGAUAGCUCAGUUGGUAGAGCAGGCGGCUGUUAACCGCCGGGUCCCAGGUUCGAGCCCUGGUCGGGGAG